GAUUGCGAAGGCAGCUCACUGGACUGCAACUGACACUGAUGCUCGAAAGUGUGGGUAUCAAACAGGAUUAGAUACCCUGGUAGUCCACACAGUAAACGAUGAAUACUCGCUGUUUGCAAGGGCCAAGCGAAAGCAUUAAGUAUUCCACCUGGGGAGUACGCCGGCAACGGUGAAACUCAAAGGAAUUGACGGGGGCCCGCACAAGCGGAGGAACAUGUGGUUUAAUUCGAUGAUACGCGCGGAACCUUACCCGGGCUUAAAUUGAAGGUGCUGCAUGGUUGUCGUCAGCUCGUGCCGUGAGGUGUCGGCUUAAGUGCCAUAACGAGCGCAACCCUUAUCUUCAGUUACGACUCUGGAGAGACUGCCGUCGUAAGAUGGAGGAAGGUGGGGAUGACGUCAAAUCAGCACGGCCCUUACGUCCGGGGCUACACACGUGUUACAAUGGGGGGUACAGAAGGCAGCUAGCGGGUGACCGUAUGCUAAUCCCAAAAUCCUCUCUCAGUUCGGAUCGAAGUCUGCAACCCGACUUCGUGAAGCUGGAUUCGCUAGUAAUCGCGC
This 558-nucleotide ribosomal RNA is filed under the name uncultured bacterium. RNAcentral's name for it is "bacterial SSU rRNA". It matches the Rfam family "Bacterial small subunit ribosomal RNA", at positions 711 to 1347 of the family's 1533-position model. The record is from RNAcentral.